CGGGUGAGUAACGCGUGAGGAGCCUGCCUCAAAGAGGGGGACAACAGUUGGAGACGACUGCUAAUACCGCAUAAGCCCACGGGUCGGCAUCGACCUGAGGGAAAAGGAGCAAUCCGCUUUGAGAUGGCCUCGCGUCCGAUUAGCUAGUUGGUGAGGUAAUGGCCCACCAAGGCGACGAUCGGUAGCCGGACUGAGAGGUUGAACGGCCACAUUGGGACUGAGACACGGCCCAG
This 233-nucleotide ribosomal RNA is filed under the name uncultured bacterium. RNAcentral describes it as "partial 16S ribosomal RNA". It matches the Rfam family "Bacterial small subunit ribosomal RNA", at positions 103 to 334 of the family's 1533-position model. The record is from RNAcentral.